Molecule: unclassified non-coding RNA, 197 nt
Filed under: plant metagenome
Description: partial contains small subunit ribosomal RNA, internal transcribed spacer 1, and 5.8S ribosomal RNA
Source: RNAcentral
UCUCCGUAGGUGAACCAGCGGAGGGAUCAUUACCGAGUGCAAACUCAUAACCCUUUGUGAACCUAUAUCUGUUGCUUCGGCGGCUCGCUCUCGGGCGAGCCCGCCGGUAAUAUCAGUAUCUCUGUUUGAACCCGACGAUACUUCUGAGUGUUCUUAGCGAACAGUUAAAACUUUUAACAACGGAUCUCUUGGCUCUA